GACGAACGCUGGCGGCGUGCUUAACACAUGCAAGUCGAACGGAAAGGCCCUGCUUUUGUGGGGUGCUCGAGUGGCGAACGGGUGAGUAACACGUGAGUAACCUGCCCUUGACUUUGGGAUAACUUCAGGAAACUGGGGCUAAUACCGGAUAGGAGCUCCUGCUGCAGGGUGGGGGUUGGAAAGUUUCGGCGGUUGGGGAUGGACUCGCGGCUUAUCAGCUUGUUGGUGGGGUAGUGGCUUACCAAGGCUUUGACGGGUAGCCGGCCUGAGAGGGUGACCGGCCACCUUGGGACUGAGGUACGGCCCAGUCUCCUACGGGAGGCAGCGGUGGAAAAUAUUGCACAAUGGGCGGGAGCCUGAUGCGGCGGCGCCGCGUGCGGGAUGACGGCCUUCGGGUUAUGAACCGCUUUCGCCUGUGACGAAGCGUGAGUGACGGUAAUGGGUAAAGAAGCACCGGCUAACUACGUG
RNAcentral lists this ribosomal RNA (468 nucleotides) under uncultured bacterium. RNAcentral's name for it is "partial 16S ribosomal RNA". It matches the Rfam family "Bacterial small subunit ribosomal RNA", at positions 28 to 507 of the family's 1533-position model. The record is from RNAcentral.